RNAcentral lists this ribosomal RNA (510 nucleotides) under Cantharidae sp. CO1088. RNAcentral's name for it is "partial 16S ribosomal RNA". The stretch from base 384 to 510 matches the Rfam family "Bacterial large subunit ribosomal RNA", at positions 2473 to 2600 of the family's 2925-position model. The record is from RNAcentral. Lineage: Eukaryota; Metazoa; Arthropoda; Insecta; Coleoptera; Cantharidae.
GUCUUUUUGAUUAUAAUAAAAAGUCUGAUCUGCUCCAUGAUAAGUUAAAUAGCUGCAGUAUCUUGACUGUACAAAGGUAGCAUAAUAAAUAGUUUUUUAAUUGAAGACUUGAAUGAAGGAUUUGACGAGAAAAUGACUGUCUCAGUUUUAAUAUUUUUGAAUUUAACUUUUUAGUAAAAAGGCUAAAAUAGUUUUAAAAGACAAGAAGACCCUAUAGAGUUUUAUAGUUUAAAAUUUUUUGUUUUUUUAGCAUUAAUAAAAUUAGAAUUUUUUUAAAUUAUUUGGUUGGGGUGAUUGGAAAAUUUAAUAAACUUUUUUAAAUUUUAAUUACUUAUUUGUAAAUUAAUUAUCUAAUUAUUAAAUUUAAAAUAAAUUACCUUAGGGAUAACAGCGUAAUAUAUUUUUAAAGUUCUAAUUUAAAUAAAUGUUUGCGACCUCGAUGUUGGAUUAAAAUAAAUUAUUAGUGCAGUAGCUAAUUAAUUAAGUCUGUUCGACUUUUAAAAUUUUACA